This is a non-coding RNA of Triticum aestivum (bread wheat), 125 nucleotides long. The record is from Rfam. Lineage: Eukaryota; Viridiplantae; Streptophyta; Magnoliopsida; Poales; Poaceae.
AAAGUACUCCCUCCGUCCGGAAAUACUUGUCAUAAAAAUGGAUGUAUCUAGAUGUAUUUUAGUUCUAGAUACAUCCAUUUUGAUCUAUUCCUCCGACAAGUAUUUCCGGACGGAGGGAGUAGUUA